RNAcentral lists this ribosomal RNA (827 nucleotides) under Listeria monocytogenes. RNAcentral describes it as "partial 23S ribosomal RNA". It matches the Rfam family "Bacterial large subunit ribosomal RNA", at positions 1570 to 2397 of the family's 2925-position model. The record is from RNAcentral. Lineage: Bacteria; Bacillati; Bacillota; Bacilli; Caryophanales; Listeriaceae.
GAAGGAAAUUAAGUACGGAAGUUCCUGAUUUCACGCUGUCAAGAAAAGCCUCUAGGAAGAGUAGUACUGCCCGUACCGCAAACCGACACAGGUAGAUGAGGAGAGAAUCCUAAGGUGAGCGAGAGAACUCUCGUUAAGGAACUCGGCAAAAUGACCCCGUAACUUCGGGAGAAGGGGUGCUCUAUUAGGGUGCAAGCCCGAGAGAGCCGCAGUGAAUAGGCCCAGGCGACUGUUUAGCAAAAACACAGGUCUCUGCAAAACCGUAAGGUGACGUAUAGGGGCUGACGCCUGCCCGGUGCUGGAAGGUUAAGAGGAGUGCUUAGCUUCGGCGAAGGUACGAAUUGAAGCCCCAGUAAACGGCGGCCGUAACUAUAACGGUCCUAAGGUAGCGAAAUUCCUUGUCGGGUAAGUUCCGACCCGCACGAAAGGCGCAACGAUCUGGGCACUGUCUCAACGAGAGACUCGGUGAAAUUAUAGUACCUGUGAAGAUGCAGGUUACCCGCGACAGGACGGAAAGACCCCGUGGAGCUUUACUGCAACCUGAUAUGGAAUGUUUGUACCGCUUGUACAGGAUAGGUAGGAGCCGAAGAGACGUGUGCGCUAGCAUACGAGGAGGCAAUGGUGGGAUACUACCCUGGCUGUAUGACCAUUCUAACCCGCCACGCUUAGCGCGUGGGGAGACAGUGUCAGGUGGGCAGUUUGACUGGGGCGGUCGCCUCCUAAAGAGUAACGGAGGCGCCCAAAGGUUCCCUCAGAAUGGAUGGAAAUCAUUCGCAGAGUGUAAAGGCACAAGGGAGCUUGACUGCGAGACUGACAAGUCGAGCAGG